GUGCAGCAGCUUGAUGUGGGAUCUCAGUUCCUAGACCAGGGAUGGAACCCAGGCUGCAACAAUGGACAUGUAGAAUCCUAACCACCAGACCACCAGGGAACUCCCACAAAACCUACCUUCUUGAUAGGUGAGAUGAGGACAGUAAUCCAUGCCUUUCAGUCUGUGUGAAACAAACAAGCCAGUAGCUGCAAAGCGGUUCACACCAUUCUGGGCACACAGGAGGCACCUAAUACGGGUGUCCCCCCGCUGCAUUAUGGAUUGAAUAUUUGCAUCCCCCCCCCCAGAUUCCUAUGUUGAAGCCCUAAAUGCAUUGGGAUGGUACUUGGAGAUGGGGCCUUUAGAAGGAAAUUAGGAUUACAUGAGGUCAUGUGGGUGGCGACCCUCCUGGUGGGGUUAGUGCCCUAAUCAGAAGGGACAUGGGAGCACCCACCCUCUUCUCCCCACUUGCACACACAUGGAAAAAACCAAGUGAGCACAUGGCAGGAGGGUGGCCCAUGAAAAAAGAGCCAUCACCAGACACCAACCCUGCUGGUACCUUAUCUCAGACUUCCAGCCUCUGCACCUAUGAGAAAACUCAACUUCUUGUUGAAGCCACUCCAUCUAUGAUAUUUUGUUACGGGAGCUCCAGCUGACUAACACACCUCUCUCCAUCCCCCUUCCCGGGAGACAGCAGCUCAGCUCUGCCCUCUCCCUUUCUCAGCUCCCAGGGGAAGGGAACUGUAGGCUCCCCUGUGUGUCAGCCUGUCUGUGCCUGGAGAGGGCUCUGGAAUACGGUUCACCACAGUGUGAGCCAGAGCUAAUUGUCUCCGUGCGGUUGGACUUUGUACUUUGAAUUUGUACCUUUAUGAAUUAGUUUAAUUUUUUAUAAUAAGCAUAUCUCACUUUUUUUUAGGGCCAUACCCAUGGCAUAUGGAGGUUCCCAGGCUGCGGGUCAAAUUGGAGCCACACCACAGCCACAGCAACUUGGGAUCCGAAGUGCACCUGCGACCUACACCAUAGCUCACAGCAACACCGGAUCAAUAACCCACUGAGUGAGGCCAGGGAUUGAACCUGAGUCCUCAUGGAUACUAGUUGGGUUCAUUACAGCUGAGCCACAACAGGAACUCCCUAUCAUGUUUGUAAUCAAAGAAACGCUCAGAGAAGUCUCUCGCAGUGAGCUGCCCAGAGCCCUCUCUCGGCGGCCCUGCUUCUUUGGGCCUAGGGGCCCGUGGCAGACUUACCUGACUCUCUACCUGACAGCUCAAAAAGCAAAGAAAAAAGGCAUGCAUGGACGUGUCCAGAAGGCGAGGGUUCCCAGCUGCCUGUGGGCAACCAGCACCUAUCACUGCUACUAAAGCCUAUUCUGCUCUCCUUGGCUCAUUAGUGAUGAGAGCUGAACACCGGGCUGAUGGGUUGUGCCCUCUGCGUGGCUGGUCACGGGCACCCGGUUCUGCCAUCAUGUGUUUUCCUUGUCAAAUGCUCAGAGCCAAAUGGAGAUGACUCACUUUUUCUAAUAUCUCCAUAUCCGCCCCCCACCCCGAAUCGGUUCCAUAUCGAUCUGCUUCUAACAGUUGGUGUAGGUAUUCUUUUACAGUUGCUAUUGCCAAUCAUAAAUAUGAUUCAAGAUUUUUUUAAAAGACUUGGAAAUAUUUCUGAGACCACCACAGCUCCCCUGACAGAAGAAAUGCCAACUGUCUUCCCGUCUGGAUUUGUCUCUGGUGGGGCUCAGACGGGGCAGAGCCUGGGGCCCGGCACCCUCUGCUCUGGAUGCAGCCCCAGGGUCUGGGGCUGGGGGGAAAGCUGCCCAUCAGCCCUGCUCAGCCACGAGUCCUGGCGGGGAGGCGCCCACGGACCCUAACCCAGGAGGGGGAGGGUUGGUGGUCCCUGUGUGACCCCAGGCUCAGGCAUGUGUGGAGUCUGAGACAUACUCACCCCCCAUAAGCUGCUGGACGACACUCGGGACCCAGGUUCCCGACGGCAAAGCGAGGAGGGGGUUGGCGUAAUACCGCCUCUGGGGCUGUGGUCAGAACAGGCUUGUGGGGGGAGGAGGAGAAGGGGCCGGGCAGGUGCCUGAGCUCACUGGUGUUAGCUGACAGAAUGGGGCAGGGCCACGACUCGCUGUCCUUCUCCUCCUGUUCACACGUCAUUUCCUCUAAGGUCUUUGCGACAGGACCUUAAGAUCCUCAUCAACACCUCCUCUUUCGGGAGCUCCCAUUGUGGCGCGGUGGAAACGAAUCCGACUAGUAUCCAUGAGGACUUGGGUUUGAUCCUUGGCCGCGCUCAGUGGGUCGGGGAUCCGGCGUUACGGUACAGGUCGCGGAUGUGGCUCAGAUCCCACGUUGCUGUGGCUAUGGUGUAGGGCAGCAGUGGCACCUCCAAUUCGUCCCCCAACCUGGGAACUUCCAUAUGCCCCAGGUAUGGCUCUAAAAAGACAAAAAAAGAAAAAAGAAAAAGAAAACACUUCAUCUCUCAAGAUGUUGGAAAGAGAGUUCCCGUUGUGUCUUCUCGGGUUAAGGACCCAACAGUGGUCUCCAUGAGGAUGCGGGUUUGAUCCCUGGCCCUGCUCAGUGGGUUAAGGAUCUGGCUUUGUCAUGAGCUGUGGUGUAGGUCUCAGAUGUGGCUCAGAUCUGGUGUUGCUGCAGCUGUGGUGUACACCUGCAGCUGCAGCUCUGAUUCCACUCCUAGCCUGGGAACUUCUGGAGGAUGUUCUGAGAGGGAAGACCGUUCUCUGGCUGCUUCCCUCAGUGACACUUGGGACCUGAGCAACCUCAGUCCCUGGUCACCUCCCAACCUGGUUAGGAUGGAAGCCUGUAGCCCAGGCUCCUGUGCCACCUGCUGGCUCACUGCCUGUCCAUCCUGGAACCCCGCCCCUUCUCACUGCUGGGUGCUGGUCUUUGGCUCCACGUGGCACCCUUAGCUCCCUACUGGAGGCUGGUGCUGGCAGCUGGAACCAAUGUCCUUGGGCCCAUCCGUGACUCGUUAGUCAAGGGUGAUCGGAGCCCACAGACAUCUGUUGAGUCUGCAAUAUGGUCCAGGAGGGGAGAAGGCAGGGAAGGGGCCAGAAGGCAGGAGCAGACUAUCUAUGGAGUGGCCACCUCCUCUGGCUCCAAGAUGACAUCCUGUUGCCUCUAAUUCACACCAACCCUGGGAGGGGGAGAUGAAGCUCGGGGAGAUGAAGCCAUCCUUCCAGCCCAACAGAGUGGGAACCAAGGUCAGCUGACUCCGAAGACCUUGCUCUUUCCACCAGACGGUGAUUCCUCUAAUAACCCAGAGAUGACGGGGUCAAAGAACCAGGUACUCAACCCCCUACCACAGCUUUGUUUAGUAGCAAGAAGCUCUGUGGGUACAUGGCUCAGAGAGCUGGGAAUUUCUAGGAUGGUUGUGAUUUCAAAUGAUCUGUCUCACUGCCUUCAUAAUCCACAAGGUUGUCUUGGAAGUCCUAGGGUACUCGGACGGCUUCCAGGGUCCCUCCUGCCCAGGGCCCCACAUUCUGGCUGAGCAUCUUUUUUUUUUUUUUCCCCAUCUUGACAUCAAUCAUUGGGAUGGACUGGCCCUCUACACAGGUGAUGUGGCCUCCUUCAUCUCAAAAUCCCCAGACCAGGUCAGGGUUACCCAAGGUGGGCUCAAAUCUCAUGAAAGACUAUGAUCCAUGGGUGACCCAGUGGAGAGAAGUUCAUCAAGGCUGGAUCCUGAGAAGCAAUUCCACAUGCCUGUCCAAGGGAGCUCCAGAACCAAGGUAUGGAACAUUCUUCCAUCCCACAAGAGGAAAGGGGGCUGAGCUGGAUUCAUGUUAUAAGGCGAGUGUCUCCCCAUACAACUUGGGGUGCUGGUGUUGGGAAGAUGGGAAAACAGCCUUGAGCCCCCCUACCGGUACUAAUCCUGCACCCCCUGAGGGCUCACCUCCCUACACAUGAAGGAAAUUUCUAGAAUAGUAGAAAUUUAGUAGUAGAGCCACCCAAAGGCCCCCACCAUGUUACAUGUCACAAGCGUCAGAUAACUCAACGUAGUAAGUUGGGGUCCCCUACUAGACAGGACUCUCUAAACUAGGGAUAACCCUGAAUUUUCCAGCCUGAAAGAGAGACUUGGCAAGUAGGUCUGGUGUAGGUUCUCAAGAAUGGUCCUUCCUCCACCCUCAGUGACAGCAGUGGGCCAUCCUCUUCCAAUGACCAGCUAACCCUGAUAUUCCAGGCCCUUCCCAAUCAGAGCCCCAACCGCCAAAGCUCACCCACAUGGGCCUUGGCUUCCUCCAGUGUCCAUUCAUCAGCCCCUUUGUUCAGCUGAGGCCAGAGCCCCUGCGAGUUGCUUUCCUGGUCUCCAGAAAAAAUGAAACUGCCUAAUGCUCAUUCAUUCAACAAAUAUGUCCUGAGCUCCAAGCCCUGUACCCGGGGCUGGGGUGCAACAUCCCCUGCACACAAAUCCCACACUCACAAAGCAACAUGGCACCCCGCAUACCCCUCAAAACUCAGAUCCAGCACCUUCCCCUCUUUGGAGACUUCCCUGGCCUUGCCCUGUCACCCUCCUCAGAAUCCUACACCCUCUCUUAGGUGGGUCCCUCGUUCCUCUUUCAGGGGGAAUGCAGGCUAAGGGCUAGAGUUGGGGUGCCUCACCCCCCGCAGCACCUCCAUGUGAAUAUCAAUCCAGAAGCUCCCCCCAAACCCAUAGAUUAGGGGUUUCUAUGGAGUCUUCAUCUCACAGGCAUAAUGGAUCCUUACCUCAUCCAUCCUUCGCUACGCUGAAGGAUGCGGCUGAAAGAUCCAAGCCUCGAAUCAACUCCAGGAGCCACCAAGAGUUGCCUCACAGGCUCCCCUCACUGUGGAAAUGGCAAGGGUUUUAGGAGCGCUGUGUCAGAAACCACGGGCGCAGAACCAGUAUAUAUUUCUUGGUUGAUCUCAGUCUCCAUCUUCCUUGAAGGCCCCGUCCUCUCAAGGGGAUGUUGCUCUCUAGACUCCCAAGGCGGUUCUGUCAGUUAGUAUUUGCCGACUGUCAGAUCCGGUGAACUGACAGAUCUCACAGCCGGAUUGGUGGGGAGAUGCGCCCCUGACGCCGGUCCAGGAUCCCACGCCCCUCGGCCAGCGGUUCUCAAGGUGUGAUACCCAAUGAGCAGCGGCAGCAGCAGCACCUGGGAAACGGCUCCGAAUGCAGAUUCUCGUGCUCCAUCACACAGUGCUGAAUCAGAAGCUCUGAGUGU
This 5167-nucleotide long non-coding RNA is filed under the name Sus scrofa (pig). Its description in RNAcentral is "lncRNA (ENSSSCG00000051190.1)". The record is from RNAcentral. Lineage: Eukaryota; Metazoa; Chordata; Mammalia; Artiodactyla; Suidae.